CUGAAUUUCCGCGGGGGCGUCAAAGCUUACCAAAGAAUAUCAAACUCCGAAUGCCAUGUAGAUGAUGAACGGGAGUCAGACUGCACGAGAUAAGUUGGGCGGUCAAAAGGGAAAGAGCCCAGACCACCGGCUAAGGUCCCAAAGUGUGUGUUAAGUGGAAAAGGAUGUGGGAAUUCGAAGACAACUAGGAUGUUGGCUUAGAAGCAGCCACUCAUUAAAAGAGUGCGUAAUAGCUCACUAGUCGAGAGGACUUGCGCCGAAAAUACACGGGGCUAAAACACACCACCGAAGCUAUGGAACGGAAACGUUGGUAGGGGAGCAUUGUGUGAGGACGAAGCGUAAGCGUAAGCGAGCGUGGACGAAACAGAAGAGAGAAUGCCGGAAUGAGUAGCGAGAUAGAAGUGAGAAUCUUCUAGGCCGAAAAUCUAAGGGAUCCAGAGUAAAGCUGAUCUGCUCUGGGGAAGUCGGGGCCUAAGGCGAGGCUGAGAAGCGUAGUCGAUGGAUAACAGGUUGAUAUUCCUGUACCGUAAGUAAACAGAACUGUGGGGACACAGGAGGAUAGUAAGAGCCGGGAAUGGAAAGACCGGUAGAAGCACAAAGGUACCUGGAUAGGCAAAUCCGUCUGGGUGAACUGAAGUGUGAUCUGGACUGAAAUAAAGUAAGGAAGCUUAUGAAUCCAAACUGUCAAGAAAAGCCGCUAUUGUUUUACUUACGCCCGUACCGCAAACCGACACAGGUAGAUGAGGAGAGAAUCCACAGGCCGGCGGGAGAAGCGUUGUUAAGGAACUAGGCAAAAUGACCCCGUAACUUCGGGAGAAGGGGUGCCUCGAAAGAGGCCGCAGAGAAGAGGCCCAAGCGACUGUUUAACAAAAACACAGGUUUCUGCGAAACCGCAAGGUGAAGUAUAGGAGCUGACGCCUGCCCGGUGCUGGAAGGUUAAGGGGAGGACUUAGAGCAAUCGAAGGUUCGAACUUAAGCCCCAGUAAACGGCGGCCGUAACUAUAACGGUCCUAAGGUAGCGAAAUUCCUUGUCGGGUAAGUUCCGACCCGCACGAAAGGCGUAACGAUCUGGGAACUGUCUCAACAAUAGACUCGGUGAAAUUGUAGUACCGGUAAAGAUGCCGGUUACCCGCAGCAGGACGGAAAGACCCCAUGGAGCUUUACUGUAGCUUGAUAUUGAGUUUCGGCGUUGCAUGUACAGGAUAGGUGGGAGAC
Molecule: ribosomal RNA, 1215 nt
Filed under: metagenome
Description: bacterial LSU rRNA
Rfam family: Bacterial large subunit ribosomal RNA
Source: RNAcentral